UAGAAGGGCUUUGGCUGACACUCCUGAGAAAGGCAGGAAUACAUGGAGCUCCUGGUGCUUCGGUUGCUCCCAUCCUUGGUGCAUCUCACGGGAGGGAGUUUCCUUUUCUUUGCUCGUACGAAACCGCCAUAGCUGGGAGGCAAAGCUCACUGGCUGUGCCUUCGAUGCAGGUGGGUUGGCACACAGCAUGCUGUGCUGCUUGGGGUGAGGACAGGAGCAUCCCGGGCACACAACUCCCUCUGCCCUGCUGCUGUCCAAGCGUUCCUGCUUGUGUGUUUUCAGAAGGAGGUUUGGUCAGGGUGAUCUGUGUGGGGGCACCUUGAGUGGCAAUGUGCUGG
Molecule: long non-coding RNA, 338 nt
Filed under: Numida meleagris (helmeted guineafowl)
Lineage: Eukaryota; Metazoa; Chordata; Aves; Galliformes; Numididae
Description: lncRNA (ENSNMEG00000013901.1)
Source: RNAcentral